Molecule: small nuclear RNA, 108 nt
Filed under: Catagonus wagneri (Chacoan peccary)
Lineage: Eukaryota; Metazoa; Chordata; Mammalia; Artiodactyla; Tayassuidae
Source: RNAcentral
GUGCUUGCUUUGGCAGCACACAUACUAAAAUUGGAAUGAUAUAGCGGAAGGUUAGCAUGGCCCCUGGACAAUGAUGACAGGCAGAUUAGUGAAGCGCUCCGUGUUUUU